UGCCAGCCGCCGCGGUAAUACGGAGGAAGCGAGCGUUAAUCGGAAUUACUGGGCGUAGAGCGCGCGUAGGCGGCUUUGUAAGUCGGAUGUGAAAGCCCUGGGCUCAACCUGGGAAUUGCAUUCGAUACUGCAUGGCUAGAGUAUGGUAGAGGGAAGUGGAAUUUCCGGUGUAGCGGUGAAAUGCGUAGAUAUCGGAAGGAACACCGGUGGCGAAGGCGACUUCCUGGGCCAAUACUGACGCCGAGGAGCGAAAGCGUGGGGAGCGAACAGGAUUAGAUA
Molecule: ribosomal RNA, 279 nt
Filed under: uncultured bacterium
Lineage: Bacteria
Description: partial 16S ribosomal RNA
Rfam family: Bacterial small subunit ribosomal RNA
Source: RNAcentral